Long non-coding RNA from Xenopus laevis (African clawed frog), 536 nucleotides. RefSeq lists it as uncharacterized. The record is from RefSeq and is a predicted model, not a curated record. NCBI's taxonomy places the organism in Eukaryota, Metazoa, Chordata, Amphibia, Anura, Pipidae. The transcript is spliced from 4 exons.
AUUUAUAAAAUCUGAUAAUUUUCCCAAGCCCUGUAACCCAUAGCAACUAGAGAUGUAUUUGUAACCAUCACCUGUCCAUAUCAUGCCUUUUUAAUAACUUCAGAACUGAUAAAACUGUUUUUUAUUCAUUCUCCUGUGAUCCAAACGUAGUCUUGUCCUUUUCUCUAAUAGACUGCAUGCCUGGUGGGGAAUCAUUGGUCAUCAUGGUUUCAAAUUUUGGGGUGGCCGGGAGUGUUCGUGUGGGAGGUGUUCAGCAAGGGCAAGAUACCAUUUGAACAUUUUUUCAACUCCGAGGCUGUGGAAAAAUCUCAGCUGGACUGAGGCUCUUCAGACCCAAGAUGUCUUCUGAAAGAGUGUACAUGCUGAUGAACAACUGCUGGAAUAUGCCAGUAAGAAGCAGAAGAAAAGAGAUAAAGCAGAAUGGAUGGAAUUAAGAUCAUAAUACAGAAGAAGACAAGACAUUUCCCGGGACACUCUCAUGGAAUAUGCAGAUAAGAAGCAGAAGAAAAGAGCAGGGGAUGGAAUUGAGAUCAGAA